This 1160-nucleotide long non-coding RNA is filed under the name Homo sapiens (human). RNAcentral's name for it is "novel transcript". Lineage: Eukaryota; Metazoa; Chordata; Mammalia; Primates; Hominidae. The record is from RNAcentral.
ACAAAAAAAAGUUGCUGAUUCCAGUCUAGAGGAAACAGUAAGGAAGAGAAAAGAGAAAUUCUCAUUAUAGCCAUGGCAAAGGAAGGGACAUUUUUAUGGACUACAUCUCUGCCUGGAUGGCUGUCUCUAACUGGAUUUUGCCAAUAUAUGCUGAUUUGAGUUGGAGUUUCACUCUGUCGCCCAGGCUGGAGCGCAGUGGUGCGAUUGCGGCUCACUGCAACCUCUGCCUCCAGGGUUCAAGCGAUUCUCCUGCCUCAGCCUCCCGAGUAGCUGGGACUACAGACAUGUGCCACCACACUCAGGGGGAGAUAUGAAAUUAUCCAGGAAUGGCAAUUUGACCACAAAAUACAUGAACAGAUGGUUCUUGCCUUUGAAUGGGAAAAGAUGCUGCCUAGUCCAUCUUGUAUUGGAAAAUGUUGUGACUCAGUGCAAAUUUUACACUUUUGGAUGCAUUUGGAUUUCUUGGAUGUUGUAAGCACUUCUCCUUCCUGCCACCACGUGAAGAAGGACAUGUUUGCUUCCUCUUCCACCAUGAUUGUAAGUUUCCUGAGGCCACCAAGUCCUGCAGAACUGAGAUUUUUACACCUAUCUGUGAUGCUAUCUUGUGACCAUGAGGAGUGCUAAGCUGAAUCACAAAUCCACCAUGCUGAGGACAGCACAACAAAGACUUGGGGACUUAAUGGUUUCAACCAGUCACUGGGUUAACAAACCCUGGAACAAUCCCACCUCAAAACUUCAGUUACCUGUCCUGCUGACGUCAGACCCAGCACCAGGUGCAGAAGCAACCAUCAUACAAAAAUCAAGCUUCCUUAAUUAUAGAUGGAGUCUCCCUGUGUUGGCCAGGCUGGUCUUGAGCUCCUGGGCUCAAGCAAGCCUUCCACUUCAGCCUCCAGCAAUCCUCCCACCUUGGCCUCCCACAGUGCUGGGAUUACAGGUGUGAGUCACUGAACCUAGACUUGACUUUAGCUUCUUGAAGAGGAAAUUUUGAUCUUUGCUUUUAAACCUUUCUCAUUUCAAAUACAAAUAUUUAAAACUGUACAUUUUCCACUAAACACAGCUUUUGAUUGGGUCUCACAUAAUUUGGUAUAAUGUAUUUUAAUUUUUAUUCAGUUUUAAAUAUGUGCUAAUUUCCCUUUGGAUUUCUUUUUUGAUCCAUAGUA